UUAAAUUUAAAGAAUUUGGCGGUAAUUUAGUCUGUUCAGAGGAACCUGUUUGUAAGUUUAAUCGAUAUGCCACGUUUUAUCUUACUUGCUUUUAAGUAAUUUGUAUACCGUCAUUUUAAAAUAAUAUAGGAUAGAGAAUUAUUGUAAAUAAUUAAUAUUAAAGAAAUUAGAUCAUGGUGCAGCUUAUAGGUAAGUUUAAAUGGGUUACAAUAAAUUUUAUUUAGAUGGAGUGAGUGUUGAAAAACUAUUAUGAAGGAGGAUUUGAUUGUAAUUUGGGUUUAAUAAAAUUAGAAGAGAUAGGCUCUAAGUUAUGUAC
This 316-nucleotide ribosomal RNA is filed under the name Afrithelphusa monodosa. Its description in RNAcentral is "partial 12S ribosomal RNA". Lineage: Eukaryota; Metazoa; Arthropoda; Malacostraca; Decapoda; Deckeniidae. The record is from RNAcentral.